RNAcentral lists this ribosomal RNA (774 nucleotides) under uncultured Neocallimastigales. RNAcentral describes it as "partial large subunit ribosomal RNA". It matches the Rfam family "Eukaryotic large subunit ribosomal RNA", at positions 24 to 637 of the family's 3401-position model. Lineage: Eukaryota; Fungi; Neocallimastigomycota; Neocallimastigomycetes; Neocallimastigales. The record is from RNAcentral.
GUAGUCUCGCACAGACGCAUAUCAAUAAGCGGAGGAAAAGAAACUAACAAGGAUUCCCCUAGUAACGGCGAGUGAAGCGGGAAGAGCUCAAAUUUGAAAUCUUAAAGGGUUUCCCUUUACGAAUUGUAGUUUAAAGAAGUGUUUUCUGUUGAGGUUUUGGUAAAAGUUCUUUGGAAUAGGACAUCAUAGAGGGUGAGAAUCCCGUAUUUGACCUUUACUUUCAACUUUGUGAUACACUUUCAAAGAGUCGGAUUGUUUGGGAAUGCAGUCCAAAAUGGGUGGUAAAUUUCAUCUAAAGCUAAAUAUUGGCGAGAGACCGAUAGCGAACAAGUACCGUGAGGGAAGGAUGAAAAGAACUUUGAAAAGAGAGUUAAACAGUACGUGAAAUUGUCAAAAGGGAAGCGUUUGACACCAGUGUUGUUUUUCUGAAAAUCAAUUAAAGAACUGUUUAUGCUAAGUUGUUUAGACUUUAUCAGCUAACUGUUUAGUUUUGAGCUUUUCUUUAAUGCACUUUUCAGUUAACAAGUCAACAUCAAUUUCUUUUGCUGUAAAAAAGCUUGAGGAAGGUGGCUUGAGAUUCGUCUUAAGUGUUUAUAGCCUCUUGCCUAUGCAGUCGGAGAGAUUGAGGUCUGCAGCGUAGAUCCUUCGGGGCUAAAUGCAUUUGUGCUAAGUUAUAGCAUUUUAUAGACAACUUGUUGACUAUGAUUUGUCUUGUAGCUUACUCGCUUAUGUUAUUUUACCUACGCUUAGGAUGUUGACAGCAGUAUAGACUGU